Molecule: ribosomal RNA, 116 nt
Filed under: uncultured bacterium
Lineage: Bacteria
Description: partial 16S ribosomal RNA
Rfam family: Bacterial small subunit ribosomal RNA
Source: RNAcentral
UACGUUCCCGGGUCUUGUACACACCGCCCGUCACACCAUGGGAGCGGGUUCCACCAGAAGUAGUUAGCCUAACCGCAAGGGGGGCGAUUACCACGGUGGGGUUCGUGACUGGGGUG